Non-coding RNA from Bemisia tabaci, 263 nucleotides. The record is from RefSeq and is a predicted model, not a curated record. Lineage: Eukaryota; Metazoa; Arthropoda; Insecta; Hemiptera; Aleyrodidae.
AUUCACUCGACCUAAUUUUUCUCAGUUAUUGGUGAACAAGGAGUUUGAAUUUUCUUAUGAUUUAGAGAAUUCAGUAAACAGUUCCAUGUCAAUGAUACAUUUGUUGUUGGGUCUUCAGCAUUGAGCACUCAAAUCUGCGCGCGUCGCAUCUAAUGUAAGUUGAGCUUUAUGUUAAAUUUACUUUGUUGUGAAUCGUGACCGUAAAUGGUUUCAUGAAAGGAUGCUUUGGUGUUUUAAAGAAAUAUAGUUGUUUGUUAUUUUAA